CCUACGGGAGGCAGCAGUAAGGAAUAUUGGUCAAUGGACGCAAGUCUGAACCAGCCAUGCCGCGUGAAGGAUUAAGGCCCUCUGGGUUGUAAACUUCUUUUAUAGGGGACGAAAAAAGGGCAUUCUUGCUCACUUGACGGUACCCUAGGAAUAAGCACCGGCUAACUCCGUGCCAGCAGCCGCGGUAAUACGGAGGGUGCAAGCGUUAUCCGGAUUUACUGGGUUUAAAGGGUGCGUAGGUGGGUUGGUAAGUCAGUGGUGAAAUCUUCGAGCUUAACUCGGAAACUGCCAUUGAUACUAUCAAUCUUGAAUCAUCUAGAGGUAAGCGGAAUAUGUCAUGUAGCGGUGAAAUGCUUAGAUAUGACAUAGAACACCAAUUGCGAAGGCAGCUUACUAUGGAUGCAUUGACACUGAGGCACGAAAGCGUGGGGAUCAAACAGGAUUAGAUACCCUGGUAGUCCACGCCCUAAACGAUGGAUACUCGACAUUUGUGAUAUACAAUAAGUGUNUGAGAGAAGACGAUUAAGUAUACCACCGUACGGUAAGGUACGACCGACGAAGUUAGUUAAACGUUAAAGGUAAGUUAGUUACGGCGUGAGAGNGACGACGGACGACGACGAGGGAGGAGG
This 629-nucleotide ribosomal RNA is filed under the name uncultured bacterium. RNAcentral's name for it is "bacterial SSU rRNA". The stretch from base 1 to 536 matches the Rfam family "Bacterial small subunit ribosomal RNA", at positions 338 to 873 of the family's 1533-position model. The record is from RNAcentral.